RNAcentral lists this ribosomal RNA (301 nucleotides) under uncultured bacterium. RNAcentral's name for it is "partial 16S ribosomal RNA". It matches the Rfam family "Bacterial small subunit ribosomal RNA", at positions 509 to 807 of the family's 1533-position model. The record is from RNAcentral.
CAGCCGCCGCGGUAAGAAAGAGGAUGCAAGCGUUAUCUGGAAUGAUUGGACGUAAAGCAUCUGUAGGUGGCUUUUCAAGUUCGUCGCCAAAUCCCAAGGCUCAACCCUGGACAGGCGGUGGAAACUAGCAAGCUAGAGUACAAUAGGGGCAGAGGGAAUUUCUAGUGGAGCGGUGAAAUGCAUUGAGAUCGGAAAGAACACGAACGGUGAAAGCACUCUGCUGGGCCGACACUGACACUGAGAGAUGAAAACUAGGGGAGAAAAUGGUAUUAGAUACCCGCGUAGUCCCUGUCUCUUAUAC